GAACGCGAAAGUCCUUCGGGGGCGAGUAGAGUGGCGCAAGGGUGAGUAACGCGUGGGUAAUCUGCCUGGAAGUGGGGGAUAGCCUCGGGAAACCGAGGGUAAUACCGCAUACGUUUCGAGCGGCGCGAGCCGCACGGAGCAAAGAUGGGGAUCUUCGGACCUGUCGCUUCCAGAUGAGCCCGCGUCCGAUUAGCUUGUUGGUGAGGUAACGGCUCACCAAGGCCUCGAUCGGUAGCCGGCCUGAGAGGGUGAUCGGCCACAUUGGGACUGAGACACGGCCCAGACUCCUACGGGAGGCAGCAGUGGGGAAUUUUGGGCAAUGGGCGCAAGCCUGACCCAGCGACGCCGCGUGGAGGAUGAAGGCCUUCGGGUUGUAAACUCCUGUCAGGCGGGAAGAAAAGCUCGCCGGUAAAUAGCCGGCGGGAAUUGACGGUACCGCCAAAGGAAGCCACGGCUAACUUCGUGCCAGCAGCCGCGGUAAUACGAAGGUGGCGAGCGUUAUCGGAAUCACUGGGCUUAAAGAGCACGUAGCGGACAGUCAAGCGUCUUGUGAAAUCCCUCGGCUUAACCGAGGAACUGCUUGGCGAACUGGCUGUCUUGAGGCAAGUAAGGGCGCGUGGAACUCUUGGUGGAGCGGUGGAAUGCGUAGAUAUCAAGAGGAACGCCGGAGGUGAAGACGGCGCGCUGGGCUUGUCCUGGCGCUGAGGUGCGAAAGCCAGGGGAGCGAACGGGAUUAGAUACCCCGGUAGUCCUGGCCCUAAACGAUGUCCACUAGGUCGAUGGUUCUCUGACGGAUUGUCGGCCGAAACCAAAGCGUUAAGUGGACCGCCUGGGGAGUACGGUCGCAAGGCUAAAACUCAAAGGAAUUGACGGGGACUCACACAAGCGGUGGAGCAUGUUGCUUAAUUCGAUGCAACGCGAAGAACCUUAUCCUGGGCUUGACAUGUAUGGAUGCCUACCUGGAAACAGGAUCGGUUGCCCUUCGGGGUGAAACUUACACAGGUGCUGCAUGGCUGUCGUCAGCUCGUGUCGUGAGAUGUUGGGUUAAGUCCCGUAACGAGCGAAACCCUUGUCGCUAGUUGCCAGCGGGUAAUGCCGGGGACUCUAGCGAGACUGCCGGUGUCAAACCGGAGGAAGGUGGGGAUGACGUCAAGUCCUCAUGGCCUUUAUGCCCAGGGCUGCAAACGUGCUACAAUGGCCGAGACAAAACGACGCAAGACCGCGAGGUGGAGCUAAUCGGAAAAAAUCGGCCUCAGUUCGGAUUGGAGUCUGCAACUCGACUCCAUGAAGUUGGAAUCGCUAGUAAUCGCGUAUCAGCCACGACGCGGUGAAUGUGUUCCUGAGUCUUGUACACACCGCCCGUCAAGUCAUGGAAGCCGGGAGCGCCCGAAGUCG
RNAcentral lists this ribosomal RNA (1395 nucleotides) under uncultured organism. RNAcentral describes it as "bacterial SSU rRNA". It matches the Rfam family "Bacterial small subunit ribosomal RNA", at positions 64 to 1429 of the family's 1533-position model. The record is from RNAcentral.